Non-coding RNA from Sphaerobolus stellatus SS14, 92 nucleotides. NCBI's taxonomy places the organism in Eukaryota, Fungi, Basidiomycota, Agaricomycetes, Geastrales, Sphaerobolaceae. The record is from the annotation of a GenBank genome assembly.
UCAUAGGUAGUAUAGUGGUUAGUAUUUGUGCCUGUCGUCGAGAGUUAAACACUAGGUUGCGCGAGACAGGAGUUUAAUUCCCCGUCUGAGAG